RNAcentral lists this ribosomal RNA (510 nucleotides) under Amphidinium carterae. RNAcentral's name for it is "partial Eukaryotic large subunit ribosomal RNA". It matches the Rfam family "Eukaryotic large subunit ribosomal RNA", at positions 407 to 945 of the family's 3401-position model. The record is from RNAcentral. Lineage: Eukaryota; Dinophyceae; Amphidiniales; Amphidiniaceae.
GUUGAAAGGGAAGCAAAUGGAAACAGUGUGUUUCCGUACCAUUCUUCCUUCGUGGCUUGCCACGGGGGCGCUGUGGUGCGGGAGUGGUCAGCAUGGGUUUGACUCGGAGCAUAUAGCUAUUCAGGAGGCAUCUGUCUUUUCAGAGAUUACUGUUUAGUGUUGUUCUGGGUUGGAUCGAGGUUAGUAUUUCGUGAUGCUGACGAAAUGUUUCUAUUUACCCCGUCUUGAAACACGGACCAAGGAGUCUAACAUAUGUGCGAGUACAGGGGUGGCAAACCCCCGUGCGCAAUGAAAGUGACAGUGGUUGGACCUUUUGGGCACAAUCCGCCGGCCUCAAUCCUUCGGGAGAACGGUCUGAGUGUGAGCAUACAUGUUGGGACCCGAAAGAUGGUGAACUAUGCCUGAAUAGGGUGAAGCCACCGGAAACGGUGGUGGAGGCUCGUAGCGGUUCUGACGUGCAAAUCGAUCGUCAAAUUUGGGUAUAGGGGCGAAAGACUAAUCGAACCAUCU